AUGAACGCUGGCGGCGUGCUUAACACAUGCCAGUCGAACGGAAAGGCCCAAGCUUGCUUGGGUACUCGAGUGGCGAACGGGUGAGUAACACGUGGGUGAUCUGCCCUGCACUUCGGGAUAAGCCUGGGAAACUGGGUCUAAUACCGGAUAGGACGAUGGUUUGGAUGCCAUUGUGGAAAGUUUUUUCGGUGUGGGAUGAGCUCGCGGCCUAUCAGCUUGUUGGUGGGGUAAUGGCCUACCAAGGCGUCGACGGGUAGCCGGCCUGAGAGGGUGUACGGCCACAUUGGGACGGAGAUACGGCCCAGACUCCUACGGGAGGCAGCAGUGGGGAAUAUUGCACAAUGGGCGCAAGCCUGAUGCAGCGACGCCGCGUGGGGGAUGACGGCCUUCGGGUUGUAAACUCCUUUCGCUAGGGACGAAGCGUUUUUGUGACGGUACCUGGAGAAGAAGCACCGGCUAACUACGUG
This 467-nucleotide ribosomal RNA is filed under the name uncultured bacterium. RNAcentral describes it as "partial 16S ribosomal RNA". It matches the Rfam family "Bacterial small subunit ribosomal RNA", at positions 29 to 507 of the family's 1533-position model. The record is from RNAcentral.